This 808-nucleotide long non-coding RNA is filed under the name Heterocephalus glaber (naked mole-rat). RNAcentral's name for it is "lncRNA (ENSHGLG00100046402.1)". The record is from RNAcentral. Lineage: Eukaryota; Metazoa; Chordata; Mammalia; Rodentia; Bathyergidae.
CUGUCAGUGCCGGGGAUUCCCUAGAGGGGGUCAUUCUAUUCAACCAUUACACACACCCCGGGCUCCUGCCGCCGCGCCGCCACCGCCGCCGCCGCCGCCGCCGCCUCACAAAAUGGCGGCGCCCAUAGAGGAGAGAGCGGCCGCCUCCUCGGCCCCAUUUUGUGGGAGGUGAGAGAUCUGUCAACAUGGAAUACCUCCGCUGAGAAUGCUUCCGAGCUUGGAAAGCCGGCCUGAGGGAUGGAGGCUGAAAGACCACCUUGCUCGGGAACUGUCACCUCUACACUUUUUCACUUUUUCAUUUUCUCAAAGGAAGCGGUAGAAGCCGCCCUGGUAAUUUUAACUAAGGGGAGAAAGGAAAGCUCCGGAUGACAGCUCCGGGAACCUGACGCGGCAUCUUGGUGGCUUUGGUUGCUCUUCACGCUCCUGGCCGUUGACUGGGAUCCGAGGGGUCGUGGACCGGCUGAUGCGAUGUAGCAGCGGUGGCCGUGGCCCCGCCACCCGUACAGGAAGACUUUUCGCGAGUUUUUAGACGCCGGAGUCUGUAGGUCUCCUCGUCUGCAUCGUGACCCUCGGAGCCCCAGAGGCCACUGCCCAGCGACUCGGGCCGGAGCGGGCGGGACGAGUGGAUGCCCAGCCGGGAUGGUGCUCCGGGGCUGUGGUUGGGACGAAGGCCUCCAACCUGGAAUAGAAGUGUCCUUAACAGUGGAAGAUGAAACAGAAGAUGAGAUCGGGCGCAUUCAGGUUGUAUGGCUGUAGAUCGGAUGAGACAGAAGAGAAAGUAAGAGGAGCUGAUGUGAAGACGGAAAAC